GCGGUUGCGGCUCAGUGGUAGAGUGCAUGUCUAGCAUGUGUGAGGUCCUGGGUUAGAUCCUCAGCACCACA
RNAcentral lists this transfer RNA (71 nucleotides) under Marmota monax (woodchuck). RNAcentral describes it as "tRNA.Ala". The record is from RNAcentral. Lineage: Eukaryota; Metazoa; Chordata; Mammalia; Rodentia; Sciuridae.